UACAGAGGUCCCAAGCGUUGUUCGGAUUCACUGGGCGUAAAGGGUGCGUAGGUGGUGAGGUAAGUCGGAUGUGAAAGCUCGGAGCUCAACUCCGAAAUGGCAUUGGAAACUACCUUGCUCGAGGGUUGGAGGGGGGACUGGAAUGCUUGGUGUAGCAGUGAAAUGCGUAGAUAUCGUAAGGAAGACCAGUGGCGAAGGCGAAUCUCUGGACAGUUACUGACACUGAGGCACGAAGGCCAGGGGAGCAAACGGG
RNAcentral lists this ribosomal RNA (253 nucleotides) under uncultured bacterium. RNAcentral describes it as "partial 16S ribosomal RNA". It matches the Rfam family "Bacterial small subunit ribosomal RNA", at positions 524 to 776 of the family's 1533-position model. The record is from RNAcentral.